RNAcentral lists this ribosomal RNA (576 nucleotides) under Hyloscirtus sp. DHMECN_14416. Its description in RNAcentral is "partial large subunit ribosomal RNA". It matches the Rfam family "Bacterial large subunit ribosomal RNA", at positions 1554 to 2509 of the family's 2925-position model. Lineage: Eukaryota; Metazoa; Chordata; Amphibia; Anura; Hylidae. The record is from RNAcentral.
GAAGGAUGAACCACUGAUUAUUAACAUAUUUGAUUAAAUCUAAUAGUAACACUUCAAGAAAAACCUAUUAACUUUUAUGUUAACCUAACACUAGAGCAUUUCAAGAAAGAUUAAAAGAAAAAGAAGGAACUCGGCAAAUAUCAACCUCGCCUGUUUACCAAAAACAUCGCCUCUUGAAUAAGAGGUCCAGCCUGCCCAGUGACUCAGUUUAACGGCCGCGGUAUCCUAACCGUGCAAAGGUAGCGUAAUCACUUGUUCUUUAAAUAAGGACUAGUAUGAAUGGCAUCACGAAGGUUGCACUGUCUCCUUUUUCUAAUCAGUGAAACUAAUCUUCCCGUGAAGAAGCGGGAAUAAACAUAUAAGACGAGAAGACCCUAUGGAGCUUUAAACUGAUUAUAAGUUUUCGGUUGGGGUGACCUCGGAGUAAAAAACAACCUCCGAGUAGUACGGGCUCCCUGAGCAAAAAGACUCGACUUUACGCACCAAAAAAUUGACUUCUAUUGACCCAAUAUUUUGAUUAACGAACUAAGUUACCCCGGGGAUAACAGCGCAUCCACUUCAAGAGCUCCUAUCGAC